CGUAACAAGGUCUCCGUUGGUGAACCAGCGGAGGGAUCAUUACCGAGUUUACAACUCCCAAACCCAUGUGAACAUACCUAUUGUUGCUUCGGCGGGAUUGCCCCGGGCGCCUCGCGUGCCCCGGAUCAGGCGCCCGCCUAGGAACUUUAACUCUUGUUUUAUUUUGAAUCUUCUGAGUAGUUUUUACAAAUAAAUAAAAACUUUCAACAACGGAUCUCUUGGUUCUGGCAUCGAUGAAGAACGCAGCGAAAUGCGAUAAGUAAUGUGAAUUGCAGAAUUCAGUGAAUCAUCGAAUCUUUGAACGCACAUUGCGCCCGCCAGUAUUCUGGCGGGCAUGCCUGUCUGAGCGUCAUUUCAACCCUCAUGCCCCUAGGGCGUGGUGUUGGGGAUCGGCCAAAGCCCGCGAGGGACGGCCGGCCCCUAAAUCUAGUGGCGGACCCGUCGUGGCCUCCUCUGCGAAGUAGUGAUAUUCCGCAUCGGAGAGCGAUGAGCCCCUGCCGUUAAACCCCCAACUUUCUAAGGUUGACCUCAGAUCAGGUAGGAAUACCCGCUGAACUUAAGCAUAUCA
Molecule: ribosomal RNA, 568 nt
Filed under: Clonostachys sp. 1 AE-2013
Lineage: Eukaryota; Fungi; Ascomycota; Sordariomycetes; Hypocreales; Bionectriaceae
Description: eukaryotic LSU rRNA
Rfam family: 5.8S ribosomal RNA (bases 199-352)
Source: RNAcentral